Molecule: unclassified non-coding RNA, 271 nt
Filed under: uncultured fungus
Lineage: Eukaryota; Fungi
Description: partial contains 5.8S ribosomal RNA, internal transcribed spacer 2, and large subunit ribosomal RNA
Source: RNAcentral
AACGCACAUUGCGCCCCCUGGCAUUCCGGGGGGCAUGCCUGUCCGAGCGUCAUUUCUGCCCUCAAGCCCGGCUUGUGUGUUGGGUCUUGUCCCCCACGGGGGACAUGCCCGAAAGGCAGUGGCGGCGUCGCGUCCGGGUCCUCGAGCAUAUGGGGCUUUGUCACACGCUCGGGAUGGACUUGCGGGACGCCUGCCCUCUCUCCCUCCCCCUUCCGGGGAGUGACCUUCCACAGUUGACCUCGGAUCAGGUAGGGAUACCCGCUGAACUUAA